CCCCCUGAAUUUAAGCAUAUUAAUUAGAGGAGGAAAAGAAAAUAAAAAGGCUUUUUUUAAAAGCGGCGAGCGAAAAGAAAACAGUUCAGCACUAAGUCACUUUGUCUAUGUGGCAUCAUUAAAUUCAUCAUUAAAAUUGUAAUAUUUAAAUAAUAUUAUGAGAAUAGUGUGCAUUUUUUCCAUAUAAGGACAUUGUAAUCUAUUAGCAUAUACCAAAUUUAUCAUAAAAUAUAACUUAUAGUUUAUUCCAAUUAAAUUGCUUGCAUUUUAACACAGAAUAAAUGUUAUUAAUUUGAUGAAGUGCUGAUAGAUUUAUAUGAUUACAGUGCGUUAUUUUUUCGGAAUUACAUAAUGGCAUAAUUAUCAUUGAUUUUUGUGUUUGUAUGAUUAACAAUGCGAAAGAUUCAGGAUACCUUCGGGACCCGUCUUGAAACACGUACCAAGGAGUCUAACAUAUGUGCAAGUUAUUGGGAUAUGAACCUAAUAGCGUAAUUAACUUGACUAAUAAUGGGAUUAGUUUUUUACCGAUUUAUAGCUAAUUAACACAAUCCCGGGGCGUUCUAUAUAGUUAUGUAUAAUGUAUAUUUAUAUUAUUUACGCCUCUAACUGGAACGUACCUUGAGCAUAUAUGCUGUGACCCGAAAGAUGGUGAACUAUACUUGAUCAGGUUGAAGUCAGGGGAAACCCUGAUGAAAGACCGAAACAGUUCUGACGUGCAAAUCGAUUGUCAGAAUUGAGUAUAGGGGCGAAAGACCAAUCGAACCAUCUAGGAGCUGGUUCCUUCCGAAGUUUCCCUCAGGAUAGCUGGUGCAUUUUAAUAUUAUAUAAAAUAAUCUUAUCUGGUAAAGCGAAUGAUUAGAGGCCUUAGGGUCGAAACGAUCUUAACCUCUUCUCAAACUUUAAAUGGGUAAGAACCUUAACUUUCUUGAUAUGAAGUUCAAGGUUAUGAUAUAAUGUGCCCAGUGGGCCUAUUUUGGUAAGCAGAACUGGCGCUGUGGGAUGAACCAAACGUAAUGUUACGGUGCCCAAAUUAACAACUCAUGCAGAUACCAUGAAAGGCGUUGGUUGCUUAAAACAGCAGGACGGUGAUCAUGGGAGUCGAAAUCCGCUAAGGAGUGUGUAACAACUCACCUGCCGAAGCAUUUAGCCCUUAAAAUGGAUGGCGCUUAAGUUGUAUACCUAUACAUUACCGCUAAAGUAGAUGAUUUAUAUUACUUGUGUUAUAAAUUUUGAAACUUUAGUGAGUAGGAAGGUACAAUGGUAUGCGUAGAAGUGUUUGGCGUAAGCCUACAUGGAGCUGCCAUUGGUACAGAUCUUGGUGGUGGUAGCAAAUAAUCGAAUGAGAUCUUGGAGGACUGAAGUAGAGAAGGGUGUCGUGUGAACAGUGGUUGAUAACGAGUUAGUCAGUUCAAGGCGAAAGCCGAAAAUCUUCAAGUGAAACAAAAAUGCCUAACUAUAUAAACAAAGCGAAUUAUAAUACACUUGAAUAAUUUUGAACGAAAGGGAAUACGGUUCCAAUUCCGUAACCUGUUGAGUAUCCGUUUGUUAUUAAAUAUGGGCCUCGUGCUCAUCCUGGCAACAGGAACCACCAUAAAGAAGCCGUCGAGAGAUAUCGGAAGAGUUUUCUUUUCUGUUUUAUAGACGUACUACCAUGGAAGUCUUUCGCAGAGAGAUAUGGUAGAUGGGCUAGAAGAGCAUGACAUAUACUGUUGUGUCGAUAUAUUCUCCUCGGACCUUGAAAACUUAUGGUGGGGACACGCAAACUUCUCAACAGGCCGUACCAAUAUCCGCAGCUGGUCUCCAAGGUGAAGAGUCUCUAGUC
This 1822-nucleotide non-coding RNA is filed under the name Drosophila melanogaster (fruit fly). RNAcentral's name for it is "Eukaryotic large subunit ribosomal RNA". It matches the Rfam family "Eukaryotic large subunit ribosomal RNA", at positions 24 to 1888 of the family's 3401-position model. Lineage: Eukaryota; Metazoa; Arthropoda; Insecta; Diptera; Drosophilidae. The record is from Rfam by way of RNAcentral.